AUGGGGGAACCCUGAUGCAGCGACGCCGCGUGANUGAAGAAGUAUCUCGNCUAUGUAAAGCUCUAUCAGCAGGGNAAGAAAAUGACGGUACCUGACUAAGAAGCACCGGCUAACUACGUGCCAGCAGCCGCGGUAAUACGUAGGGUGCAAGCGUUAUCCGGAAUUAUUGGGCGUAAAGGGCUCGUAGGCGGUUCGUCGCGUCCGGUGUGAAAGUCCAUCGCUUAACGGUGGAUCCGCGCCGGGUACGGGCGGGCUUGAGUGCGGUAGGGGAGACUGGAAUUCCCGGUGUAACGGUGGAAUGUGUAGAUAUCGGGAAGAACACCAAUGGCGAAGGCAGGUCUCUGGGCCGUCACUGACGCUGAGGAGCGAAAGCGUGGGGAGCGAACAGGAUUAGAUACCCUGGUAGUCCAAGGGCGAAUUC
Molecule: ribosomal RNA, 421 nt
Filed under: uncultured bacterium
Lineage: Bacteria
Description: SSU rRNA
Rfam family: Bacterial small subunit ribosomal RNA
Source: RNAcentral